Molecule: long non-coding RNA, 355 nt
Filed under: Daucus carota (carrot)
Lineage: Eukaryota; Viridiplantae; Streptophyta; Magnoliopsida; Apiales; Apiaceae
Description: long non-coding RNA (DCAR_LNC007423)
Source: RNAcentral
AAGGGUAUAGGAUACUUGCCUUAAAUCUGACUCCAGUUUCACAGCUCAUUCUCAUCUUUCAACUUUCACAAUCUAUGCAUCUCGUAAUCUCUAGACCAUCUCUAGCUAUACUCUAUUCGCCACAUCGCUUCGCUUACUCGAUUCAUCCCUUAUUCACUUUGCAAUACCAUUCCGACUUUCGGACGUCACGUCUCGUCCAAAUCCUUUACGAGAAUAAGAUAAUACUAUAGUCACUAAACAAUAUAUCGCAUAUACAUAUCACGUAUACCGAUACCCACUUAUAUACCCCUUUAAACUUAUCAGAUACCACGUAACACAUAAGCUUGCUUUGACUCUAACAUAUAAUCAAUCAUAU